UGGGUAUUAGCCAAAUUGGUAAGGCAGAGGACUCUGAAUCCUUAAUGUACUGGUUCGAAUCCAGUAUACCCAACUA
This 76-nucleotide transfer RNA is filed under the name Ligilactobacillus aviarius. RNAcentral describes it as "Lactobacillus aviarius tRNA-Gln". It matches the Rfam family "tRNA". From Rfam's summary of the family: Transfer RNA (tRNA) molecules are approximately 80 nucleotides in length. Lineage: Bacteria; Bacillati; Bacillota; Bacilli; Lactobacillales; Lactobacillaceae. The record is from RNAcentral.